CGGGGUGUGGCUCAGUUGGUAGAGCGCUUGGUUUGGGACCAAGAUGCCGCAGGUUCGAAUCCUGUCACUCCGACCA
RNAcentral lists this transfer RNA (76 nucleotides) under Bacillota bacterium. RNAcentral's name for it is "tRNA-Pro". It matches the Rfam family "tRNA". From Rfam's summary of the family: Transfer RNA (tRNA) molecules are approximately 80 nucleotides in length. Their secondary structure includes four short double-helical elements and three loops (D, anti-codon, and T loops). The record is from RNAcentral. RNAcentral also lists the same sequence under 1 other name. Lineage: Bacteria; Bacillati; Bacillota.